RNAcentral lists this ribosomal RNA (514 nucleotides) under uncultured bacterium. RNAcentral's name for it is "partial 16S ribosomal RNA". It matches the Rfam family "Bacterial small subunit ribosomal RNA", at positions 28 to 523 of the family's 1533-position model. The record is from RNAcentral.
GAUGAACGCUGGCGGCGUGCCUAAUACAUGCAAGUCGAGCGAAUGGAUUGAGAGCUUGCUCUUAUGAAGUUAGCGGCGGACGGGUGAGUAUCACGUGGGUAACCUGCCCAUAAGACUGGGAUAACUCCGGGAAACCGGGGCUAAUACCGGAUAACAUUUUGAACCGCAUGGUUCGAAAUUGAAAGGCGGCUUCGGCUGUCACUUAUGGAUGGACCCGCGUCGCAUUAGCUAGUUGGUGAGGUAACGGCUCACCAAGGCAACGAUGCGUAGCCGACCGGAGAGGGUGAUCGGCCACACUGGGACUGAGACACGGCCCAGACUCCUACGGGAGGCAGCAGUAGGGAAUCUUCCGCAAUGGACGAAAGUCUGACGGAGCAACGCCGCGUGAGUGAUGAAGGCUUUCGGGUCGUAAACUCUGUUGUUAGGGAAGAACAAGUGCUAGUUGAAUAAGCUGGCACCUUGACGGUACCUAACCAGAAAGCCACGGCUAACUACGUGCCAGCCGCCGCGGUAA